This 851-nucleotide ribosomal RNA is filed under the name uncultured bacterium. RNAcentral describes it as "bacterial SSU rRNA". It matches the Rfam family "Bacterial small subunit ribosomal RNA", at positions 51 to 901 of the family's 1533-position model. The record is from RNAcentral.
CUUCCUGCAGUCGACGCGAAAGGGGGGCAACCCCCGAGUAGAGUGGCGAACGGGUGAGUAAUACAUCGGAACGUACCCAGUAGCGGGGGAUAACCUCUCGAAAGAGAGGCUAAUACCGCAUACGACCUACGGGUGAAAGAGGGGGAUCGCAAGACCUCUCACUAUUGGAGCGGCCGAUGUCGGAUUAGCUAGUUGGUGGGGUAAUGGCCUACCAAGGCGACGAUCCGUANCUGGUCUGAGAGGACGGCCAGCCACACUGGAACUGAGACACGGUCCAGACUCCUACGGGAGGCAGCAGUGGGGAAUUUUGGACAAUGGGCGAAAGCCUGAUCCAGCCAUGCCGCGUGAGUGAAGAAGGCCUUCGGGUUGUAAAGCUCUUUCGGCUGGGACGAAAAGGUCCGUGCUAACACCACGGAUCCAUGACGGUACCAGCAGAAGAAGCACCGGCUAACUACGUGCCAGCAGCCGCGGUAAUACGUAGGGUGCAGGCGUUAAUCGGAAUUACUGGGCGUAAAGCGUGCGCAGGCGGUUUGCUAAGACAGGUGUGAAAUCCCCGGGCUUAACCUGGGAACUGCGCUUGUAACUGGCAAGCUAGAGUGUGGCAGAGGGGGGUGGAAUUCCACGUGUAGCAGUGAAAUGCGUAGAGAUGUGGAGGAACACCGAUGGCGAAGGCAGCCCCCUGGGCUAACACUGACGCUCAUGCACGAAAGCGUGGGGAGCAAACAGGAUUAGAUACCCUGGUAGUCCACGCCCUAAACUAUGUCAACUGGUUGUCGGGGAAGCAAUUCCUUGGUAACGAAGCUAACGCGUGAAGUUGACCGCCUGGGGAGUACGGCCGCAAGGUUAAAACU